UACGUAGGGGGCUAGCGUUGUCCGGAAUUACUGGGCGUAAAGGGUUCGUAGGUGGCCUGCUAAGUCAGACGUGAAAUCCCCAGGCUCAACCUGGGAACUGCGUCUGAUACUGGAUGGCUUGAAUCCGGGAGAGGGAUGCAGAAUUCCAGGUGUAGCGGUGAAAUGCGUAGAUAUCUGGAGGAAUACCGGUGGCGAAGGCGGCAUCCUGGACCGGCAUUGACGCUGAGGAGCGAAAGCUAGGGGAGCAAACGGG
Molecule: ribosomal RNA, 253 nt
Filed under: uncultured bacterium
Lineage: Bacteria
Description: partial 16S ribosomal RNA
Rfam family: Bacterial small subunit ribosomal RNA
Source: RNAcentral